GUCAUUGCGAAGUGGGAUCUGAAGGGAGUCGAACGCAAACGCUCGCGCUGACGAACAGAAAUUAUGUAAAAUGGACGCAUCUGCUUGAUAAGACAUAGUCCGAAAAUAUUAUAAUUUUGUGUGUAAAAACAGGGUAUAAUAAAUUAAAGGAAGACUAA
This is a non-coding RNA of Staphylococcus microti, 158 nucleotides long. NCBI's taxonomy places the organism in Bacteria, Bacillati, Bacillota, Bacilli, Caryophanales, Staphylococcaceae. The record is from Rfam.